UGGGGAAUAUUGCACAAUGGGGGAAACCCUGAUGCAGCGACGCCGCGUGAGCGAAGAAGUAUCUCGGUAUGUAAAGCUCUAUCAGCAGGGAAGAAGAUGACGGUACCUGACUAAGAAGCACCGGCUAAAUACGUGCCAGCAGCCGCGGUAAUACGUAUGGUGCAAGCGUUAUCCGGAUUUACUGGGUGUAAAGGGAGCGUAGACGGAGAAGCAAGUCUGGAGUGAAAGCCCGGGGCUCAACCCCGGGACUGCUUUGGAAACUGUUACUCUUGAGUGCCGGAGAGGUAAGCGGAAUUCCUAGUGUAGCGGUGAAAUGCGUAGAUAUUAGGAGGAACACCAGUGGCGAAGGCGGCUUACUGGACGGUAACUGACGUUGAGGCUCGAAAGCGUGGGGAGCAAACA
This 402-nucleotide ribosomal RNA is filed under the name uncultured bacterium. RNAcentral's name for it is "bacterial SSU rRNA". It matches the Rfam family "Bacterial small subunit ribosomal RNA", at positions 355 to 774 of the family's 1533-position model. The record is from RNAcentral.